UCAAAUGUUAUUUUUUGGGAGAGUAUGGACUGACAGGUUUCCGGUAUACAGUGUGACUUCAUGUCCUCAAAAUGACAUCGAAUGGCGAAAAUCAUCCGAGAGAUUAAAUUGUUCUCUGCAUUACAACAAAAAGCUUUACCGAUAUCACUGUUUGCCAGACUCUAAACUAACAACCUUGGUGGAAUUUUGUUACGAUCAUAUUCGACCUUUGGUGCCGAAAGGAAACUGUGUCGUUUUAAAUACUCACAGUACUCUGUUGGACACUUAUAAUUGUUCGAAAUUUAAAGAUGGGUGUCCAGAUGUGCAUUUUGACAGCGAUGCUAUUUUAAAAUAUCCGAGUUGUUUAUUGAUCGAGACAAAAAAGCAGUGCUACUUGGCAGAAAACACGUGUAUAACUGUGCCUGGAUCAAACCUUACAACCCAAUCGAUUUUAAGCGGACCAUCAACUGCAAGG
Long non-coding RNA from Saccostrea cuccullata (small rock oyster), 454 nucleotides. RefSeq lists it as uncharacterized. NCBI's taxonomy places the organism in Eukaryota, Metazoa, Mollusca, Bivalvia, Ostreida, Ostreidae. The transcript has 5 exons. The record is from RefSeq and is a predicted model, not a curated record.